This 253-nucleotide ribosomal RNA is filed under the name uncultured bacterium. RNAcentral describes it as "partial 16S ribosomal RNA". It matches the Rfam family "Bacterial small subunit ribosomal RNA", at positions 524 to 776 of the family's 1533-position model. The record is from RNAcentral.
UACGUAGGGGGCGAGCGUUGUCCGGAUUUACUGGGCGUAAAGCGCGUGUAGGCAGCUGCUUAAGUCGGGUGUGAAAGCCCGGGGCUCAACCCCGGGAUGCCGCCCGAGACUGGGCGGCUUGAGGUCGGAAGAGGGGAGUGGAAUUCCAGGUGUAGCGGUGAAAUGCGUAGAGAUCUGGAGGAACACCCGUGGCGAAGGCGGCUCCCUGGUCCGAUUCUGACGCUGAGACGCGAAAGCGCGGGGAGCGAACGGG